Phoenix dactylifera (date palm) is the source of this 540-nucleotide non-coding RNA. The record is from RefSeq and is a predicted model, not a curated record. NCBI's taxonomy places the organism in Eukaryota, Viridiplantae, Streptophyta, Magnoliopsida, Arecales, Arecaceae.
UCUCUCCAUUUUCCUUUCUUUCUCGAUGAUUCUUGCGGAUUCGAUUGAUCCAAAGGUUCUUUGGGCGUAGUUCUUUAAAGAUCGGCACUAUUUGGAGAAGGAUUGGGGACACCACUUCUUGCCAUCCGGCGAGAAGGGCCAGGCUUCUGCUCAUCCCAAGGUCGUGUUGGAGGUUGGUUGUGGAGCUGGAAACACUGUUUUCCCCACUUCUAGUGGCAUUUCCAGAUGUCUUUGUUCAUGCUUGUGAUUUCUCACCUCUUGCAAUUGAACUUGUCAAGGUAAGUACUUUUGGUGAUACUAGCUAUAUAGACUCUUCAUCUUUUUAACACAGUUGAAUAAGCCUUUCAGUAGCUUAAAUUGGUAGUCUAGGUUUUUUUUUCCUUCGUUUUGUAUUUUUGAUGUUUUAUUCUUCUGUAACUAUCUUAUACUUGGAUGUGCCCAUCUGCUAGAUCUUUAUUUCAGUGAAAGGUUCCGGUAAGAGUGGAUAAUCUCUCUGUGGAUCGUUACUUUUUUUAUGUCUCCUGAAUGCAUGAGACAUUA